RNAcentral lists this small RNA (3454 nucleotides) under Pan troglodytes (chimpanzee). RNAcentral describes it as "retained intron". Lineage: Eukaryota; Metazoa; Chordata; Mammalia; Primates; Hominidae. The record is from RNAcentral.
ACGUAGCAGUGCCAGUGGCAGCAGCAGCCAUGGGGAAGCCGGGCGUGGAGGCAGCACCGGGCUCGGAGCUGGCCAGGGUUCCCUAGCCUAUGGAGCACGCAGCCACCACAGGCCCCAGGCCUGGACCUCCCUCUCGGCGGGUGGAGAAUGUGAGUCCUCUGGGACUCGCCGCUCCUGCCAUGGGGUUGAAGUCUGCCCGUUCCCCCAAAGGCCAGGAGAGUGCACGUUCCUGCACCCUGGGUCUAAUUUCAGCCAGGAGAGGGACUUUUGCAGCUCAGCCAGGCAGGGAGGCGGGACUGGCGACUGCAUGGGAGUGGGGCCACAGCCCAGCCUGGGACCCACCUGGGGAAUGGGUGGCGGUACCUCCCCAGGUUGUGCUACGAGCCAAGGACUGGCUGCCAGGAGCUCCUGGGGGCACCGCAGUGUGGGCCACCAGCUUGGAAGCAGAGGUCCCACCAGAUCUAGCGCUCAAUAAGGAGCAGCAGCUGCAGAUCUCCAAGGAGCUGGUCGACAUUCAGAUCACAACCCACCACCUACAUGAGCAGCACGAGGCUGAAAUCUUCCAGCUGAAGAGUGAGAUCCUUCGGCUGGAGAGCCGGGUACUGGAGCUGGAGCUGCGAGGAGAUGGCACCAGCCAGGGCUGUGCAGUCCCAGUGGAGUCUGACCCCAGGCACCCCCGGGCAGCAGCCCAAGAGCUCAGACACAAAGCCCAGGUGCCUGGACACUCUGAUGACCACAGAUUCCAGGUGCAGCCCAAGAACACCAUGAAUCCCGAGAAUGAGCAGCACAGGCUGGGGAGCGGCGUGAGUGUGCAGCCACCUAGCUCAGGGGAGAGGGCAGCACCAGAGACCCCAAGCCUAGGGUCUCAUCUAGCCAGCCCUGUGUGCCCCACAGCUGCAGGGGGAAGUGAAGCGGGUGCUGGAGCGUCAGGAGGCCUGGCAGCAGGCACUGGUGACGCGUGUGUGAGUGGCCAUCUCACCUGGGGCCCCAUCCUGGAGCAGAGAGAACCCCUGAUCGUGGGCCUGCUGAGCCUCACCCCCGUGUCUUCAGGGCAACCCUGGGCCGGCAGCUGCAGGGAGCCCGAGAGGAGGCCAGGGCAGCCGGGCAGCGACUGGCCACACAGGCUGUGGUGAGGCUCUGCCCUGACUGCUUGGAGACCUGGAGGGUGGGGGCCCCAGAAGCUCAGCCGGGGUCCACUCUCAGGGCACAGGUGGAGGGCUGCUUCCACCCCAGGUGCUGUGCAGCUGCCAAGGCCAGCUCCGUCAGGCAGAGGCCGAAAAUGCCCGGCUGCAGCUGCAGCUCAAGAAACUGAAGGAUGAGUACGUCCUACGGCUUCAGCACUGCGCCCGGCAGGCAGUGGUGAGCCCUGCAGGAGCACCCUGAGGCCUAGGGAGCCCAAGCCUGGCCUGGGUGUGCUGGAUAGCUUCAGGGAGACCCCAGGGCCCCAGCACUGCUCAGCCUGCUGGGGUGGGGGGAUGGUUGGAAAAGAUGGGGGGUGGGCCCCAUGCGGACCCAGCCCGCCGCCUCCAGGAGCACGCAGAUGGUGCAGGCCAAGCACCAGCCACCACGGCCCUCCGGACAUUCCUGGAGGCGACUCUGGAGGACAUCCGGGCAGCGCACCGCAGCCGUGAGCAGCAGCUGGCCCGGGCUGCCCGCAGCUACCACAAGAGGCUGGUGGAUCUGAGCCGCAGGCAUGAGGAGCUGCUGGUUGCCUACAGGUGGGCCCCGCUGGGAUGGGAGGUGUCAGGCAUCUGUGGGUCUCUAAGCCUCUGUGCCUCAAAGGCUUGGUGUGCAGCAGGAGUGGCCCCAGACAGACACUAGCCUACCCUGACAGGGCACCUGGGAACCCCCAAGCUAUUUUUGACAUAGCCAGCUUGGACCUGGAACCAUUGCCCGUGCCCCUGGUCACUGACUUCAGCCAUCGGGAGGACCAGGUGAGGCUAGAGAUCCCCAGAAGCUCCAGGCCCGGGUGCCCCCCACCCACCCACUGCCCCACACUGGCCCCAGGCCUCAUCUUGGGCUCAACAGAGACCUCAGCCCCGGGCCUCUGAGGAGCUUGCCUUGUUCAGCCAACUGAAACGUCCCCACCACAAACCUCUGUAGCACGGCGGGCCUGGGGCACUGCUCUCAUCCCCAAAAAAGAGACCCGGUGGAGCCUCCCAGGGGGGAACGUCAGAGCCACAGUGAGUGCCCUCAUGGGUGUGGGGGAGGCCUGUGGGGGAUGGGCAGAGAGCACAACGCCUGCACCCUGGGGCCCCCAGUUGCUCCACCAAGUCCCCGCCAGACAGGGUCUGGUCACAGCAAUGCACUCAGUGGCACGUCCCCACCCUGGGGUCCCUCCGUGGGUCCCGGGGACACUGAUAAUCACAGGAAAGAGAAGAGGGGCUGCUGCAGGUGGAGCUGGCCUUGAACACGGAGGAUCAGGGAGAGCACACCUGAGGGAGGUUUCCGCUGAGACCUGGAGGAUGCCAGGGGUGGGAGCAGGGCGCCUGGUGACCAGGCCAGCCCUUGCCUCUGGGCCUCCAUGUUCCCAGCUGUACAAUGGGCAGGGCUCCCCAAGGACCAUUUCCUGGGGUUUAGGGCACACCCGUGUGGGGGUGGCAUCCCUGUUGAUGCUGGAGUCACUGUCUGGGCUGGCCUUGUGGUUUAGCCCUCCCCGAGCAGCCAGCAGACCCCCUGGGCCCGGGCUGUCCCCAUACACGGAUGGCUCCAAGGCCUGGGGGAGGGGCGCCACAGGAGCACAGGGGGACCCAUGCCUCCCUCACUCACUCCCAGGUGUCCCCUCCCGGCUCUGGGAACCUGACUCGGCACGGUCACGUCUGUCCCUGUGUCACCAUGCCAGCUCUCAAAACCACUCCUCCUUUCCUCUCCCCUCACAGGGGCCUGGACGCUGCAUCCUGGGCCCAGAUCCACCAGAAGCUCCGGGACUUCUCCCGCAGCACCCAGGUAGGAGGCAAGGGCUGGCCCAGGCCCCUCCUCACACCAUGCCCUAGCUCAUGGCUUACAUCCCCAUGCCAGGCAGAGCUGGAACGGGAGCGGGCACAGCUGCUGGUCCGGGCCACGAUGGCUGAAGAGCAACUUUCUGAGCUACAGGAGUACGUGGACCAGCACCUGGGCAGGUGGGCAGAGGGAGCUGGGUGUGACCCCAGGGCCCUGGUCUGGUCGGAAUGAAGGAUGAUGGCUGCCUCAGGCGCUAGAGGCAGACCUGUCCACAGCUGGGCAGGUCACUUAAGCAUGGUUCCUCUGAGCAGGUACAAGCACGAAAUCCUGAGGCUGAGGAAGCUGGCAGGUGCAGGGGACCCCUGGAAAGUGGGGGCUGUGCCUCCAGCCAAGCCCCAGCAUCCAAGGACCGGCAGCCACUAGGCCGUCUCCCAAGGAGCAGAGCAGAGCCCGUCAGCCAGCACAGAACCCUCCCACCCAGCCCCCCAUAAAACAUGAGUCAGGAUAGAACCCA